CUACGUGCCAGCAGCCGCGGUAAUACGGAAGGUCCAGGCGUUAUCCGGAUUUAUUGGGUUUAAAGGGAGCGUAGGCUGGAGAUUAAGUGUGUUGUGAAAUGUAGACGCUCAACGUCUGAAUUGCAGCGCAUACUGGUUUCCUUGAGUACGCACAACGUUGGCGGAAUUCGUCGUGUAGCGGUGAAAUGCUUAGAUAUGACGAAGAACUCCGAUUGCGAAGGCAGCUGACGGGAGCGCAACUGACGCUUAAGCUCGAAGGUGCGGGUAUCAAACAGGAUUAGAUACCCUGGUAGUCCGCACAGUAAACGAUGGAUGCCCGCUGUUGGUACCUGGUAUCAGCGGCUAAGCGAAAGCAUUAAGCAUCCCACCUGGGGAGUACGCCGGCAACGGUGAAACUCAAAGGAAUUGACGGGGGCCCGCACAAGCGGAGGAGCAUGUGGUUUAAUUCGAUGAUACGCGAGGAACCUUACCCGGGCUUGAAUUGCAGAGGAAGGAUUUAGAGAUA
RNAcentral lists this ribosomal RNA (505 nucleotides) under uncultured bacterium. RNAcentral's name for it is "bacterial SSU rRNA". It matches the Rfam family "Bacterial small subunit ribosomal RNA", at positions 501 to 1008 of the family's 1533-position model. The record is from RNAcentral.